Long non-coding RNA from Papaver somniferum (opium poppy), 1159 nucleotides. RefSeq lists it as uncharacterized. The transcript has 2 exons. NCBI's taxonomy places the organism in Eukaryota, Viridiplantae, Streptophyta, Magnoliopsida, Ranunculales, Papaveraceae. The record is from RefSeq and is a predicted model, not a curated record.
GAUGCCGCAAUACAAUGAAUGUCCUGCGAACCUAGUUGUAUGUUAGGACAUUUGGAAGCAAGAUGAAUGGAGUGAUGUGAAAUGGUAAUGGGGAAUGUUGGUAUGAUGGCUGUGAAGAAGGGAAUGUAUGUCUCAUGAAACUGGUGGUGUUGAGCUAUUGCAGUAGCACAUGAAUGGACUGCAGUUAAAGCUCAGAUGGAUUCAGCUGAUAGAUUUGAGGAGAAUGGAUUAGGAUAUUGGUGCUGUGACUGUGAUGCUGCUGCCAUGGCUAGGUUGUCAAGCUGCAGAUGUUGAUGCAAUUAAUGCUUUGAGGAGGAUGUCUGGAAUGGUGGUUGUGUAGUGCAGUUGACAGCAGGGGAUGAGUUUUCUUGUUUUCUUUGGCAGAGGCAAUUGUUACAAACCGGAGGUGGUCUAGGUGGUGGUAAUGGAGGUGGCAUUGCUACCAAGGUCGUAUGCCUGACAGAGGUGGUUACUGCAGAUGAGCUUAAAGAUGAUGAAGAGUAUGAAGAUAUUUUGGAAGAUAUGAGGGUAGAAGGUGGAAAAUUUGGUACAUUGAUGAAUAUUGUCAUCCCCCGUCCACAACCUAACGGUGAACCCUCUCUAGGACUUGGAAAGGUUAGUUUCAGUGUAAGGUAUUGUUAAAUGACACUCUUAGGUUGACUGUUACUUUGUAUUAUAAAAUUUUGACUGUUACUUUGUAUUGCUAAAUGACACUCUUCUCCUGUAGGCUUUCGUUGAGAACUACGACACUUCAUGUCUAAGCCAGUGCCUCUACGGUAUCAUCUACCACUAUGUGAGUGUGCAGCAAAAACGGUGUUAGGUUUACCAAGAAGAGAGUGUGCAGCAAAAACGGAUCAUUUCCAUUUAGCAAUGUAACCCAGACUACCAUACUGGAACGUGUAUGCUACUGUCAUAUUUGUAGGGACGGCCAAUAUCUGUGUUUUACGAUUUAUAUGAUAUUUUUAGUCAUGUUCAAAGAAUCUAUCAUUUUAUUUUCUUUCGUUGCUCAACACACUUUCAUACAAGGUGAUUUGAAGUUAGCUAGGUAAUGCAAUUGGAGUGGUAGGUUAACUUGAAUGAAUGUAAAUGUGCUACACUGGCAUGUUAAUGUGAAUGUGAAAUACUUUCGGCAAUUCAUGCAAUUCGGUUUCAGCUAUAA